GCGGUGGUUACCGUACUCUCAAAUCUAGGCAGUAGGCUCGCUGAGCCGGGAACUCCCAGGCUAUCCUGGGGAUGCCACCAGGCAGCACAGACACUGGGACAGUUUCCUGCAGCAUACACAAGGGCAGGAAUUCACUGACGGGCCCAUUCCAGCCAGCAGUACUUAUAGGAGUAAGGUGAAAUAGGCCAGGAAGAAUGCUCAGGAGUCUCUCUCCAUUCUUGCUUGGCUGCAGGCCAGCCUAGAAGAAGACCAUAGUAGUUUCCACUGCUCCAUCAAAGCACACAGGUUGGAAGAGGGGAAGAAUCCAUGGGGCUGUCCUGGCAGCCACAGACCAGCUCUGGUAAAUCUAUGAGGAGCUGCCCGACUCUGCCUGUGGCCUUGGUACAAAGCUUGUGCCCUCCCACUGGAACUCUUGAAGUACAGGAAUCCUCACUGGCUUGGGAAACAAUCAUGGACCGCCUACCUGCAAGCCCCCUCCCCACUGCAUCCCAGAGCUGCAAGGGAGCAUCUUUACUUGACGGGGAGAGCAGGCAACACAGGCUCUGCCUCCAGAUCCACCCUCCCCGCUCACCUCUUCCUUCACUGUCUCUACUGCCACCGCCAUGCUGAC
RNAcentral lists this long non-coding RNA (610 nucleotides) under Chinchilla lanigera (long-tailed chinchilla). RNAcentral describes it as "lncRNA (ENSCLAG00000029105.1)". The record is from RNAcentral. Lineage: Eukaryota; Metazoa; Chordata; Mammalia; Rodentia; Chinchillidae.